UAUUUUCCAAAACUAAUAAUUUGUUAAAUUGUAAAAAGUUUUUAACUGAAAAAACAAAUUUCAGUCCCCCGAUAUAUGCAUAUAUAGAUUUUUGCAAGAUCUCCACAAAAUUUACACUUCGCUUUGGCUGUUCUGAUCAUACCAACCCAAACCCUCACCCUCUCUCCUUCUCUCCCUCUGCGACAUCUCUCCCGCUCUCUCUCCCAUUUGGCAACCCUGCAAUUCCCCAAACCCUAGAAAUCUGUCUCUCUGUCUUCCUCCCAUUUCACCCACCUGCAACUGCAAGUGUUCGCUUGCAGAGGCUAAUUCCGCUUUGGCGCUUUCCCCUCUCUCUUGCCGCAUCUCGAAGCACGAUUAGCUGCGCUCUCGUCUCCGUCAUUCGCCUGCCAAUUUUCUGCAAUUCGAAUCGUUUUGGUCUCCGAUGGCGCACGGAAAAGUCAGUCUCCCUCAAGAUCUCCUCCCCUCGAAUCUGGUCGAUUCACACUUCUCCGCCAAAGGUUUGCGUUCUUCUGCGUUUUUCAAUCCGUAUCUCUUCUCGCUGCAUCGAUUUUCUCUGUUGCUCCCGCAUCAUUUUCUUCCUUGCUCGAUUUAAAUCGCAUUCAAAUCUACACCUAUAUAUAUAUAUAUAUCUGUAUUCUUUAGAAUGUUGUGUGAUGAAAGCUUUUGGAUGUUCUUGAUAUCGUUAUGGCUUUGCUUUUCGAUGUUAAUUUUGGGAACGAAAUGUGGGAUAAUUUUGUUGCCACGGUGCUCAUGUCAUCUUCCUUUCUGUUCUGUCCUUCAUUUUAGUGCUGGUACAGUGCAAGAGUCUUUCCGUCUGUCUUCUAUUAGCAGUUCAUUGGAGUAUUUGAACACUGUUUUUUCCACCUAUUUUAUUUUUACUUUCGAUAGUGAACCUCUUGGAUUUGUAAAUCAUGGACAAUCUGAUUUCGAAGAAUGCAUGUAAAUAUCUAUCUUUUUCUGUUUGCCAUCUUAGAUGAUGAAGCCUUCCAAGGAAACAUUGAGGAGAAGGCGCUAACGGGGUCCCUUGACAUGUCAAUUGGUGGUUGUGCUUCCUUUCUUAUUAUCCAUUGUUUUUCCCAUGUUCAAUUUUGUUCACCUCAUUGGCUAUCAUUUUACUGUAUUUUUCUUUAUGAUUAAAGUGUGAGCCUGCCAGUUAAUUAGUUUAACAUGGUCCUAAUUGCAGAUCAAGUUGCCUCAGACAGCAG
This 1205-nucleotide long non-coding RNA is filed under the name Malus domestica (apple). RNAcentral's name for it is "long non-coding RNA (MDOM_LNC017137)". Lineage: Eukaryota; Viridiplantae; Streptophyta; Magnoliopsida; Rosales; Rosaceae. The record is from RNAcentral.